UACGGAGGGGGUUAGCGUUGUUCGGAAUUACUGGGCGUAAAGCGCACGUAGGCGGAUUGACAAGUUGGGGGUGAAAUCCCGGGGCUCAACCCCGGAACUGCCUCCAAAACUGUCAGUCUUGAGUUCGAGAGAGGUGAGUGGAAUUCCGAGUGUAGAGGUGAAAUUCGUAGAUAUUCGGAGGAACACCAGUGGCGAAGGCGGCUCACUGGCUCGUUUCUGACGCUCAGGCGCGAUAGCGUGGGGAUCAAACAGG
Molecule: ribosomal RNA, 253 nt
Filed under: uncultured bacterium
Lineage: Bacteria
Description: partial 16S ribosomal RNA
Rfam family: Bacterial small subunit ribosomal RNA
Source: RNAcentral